UACGGAAGGCAGCAGUGGGGAAUAUUGCACAAUGGGCGAAAGCCUGAUGCAGCUAUGCCGCGUGUAUGAAGAAGGCCUUAGGGUUGUAAAGUACUUUCAUCGGGGAGGAAAAAACAAAACUAAUAAUUUUAUUUCUUGACGUUACCCGAAAAAGAAGCACCGGCUAACUCCGUGCCAGCAGCCGCGGUAAUACGGAGGGUGCUAGCGUUAAUCAGAAUUACUGGGCGUAAAGAGCACGUAGGUGGUUUUUUUAAGUCAGAUGUGAAAUCCCUGGGCUUAACCUGGAACUGCAUUUUGAAACUGAAAUACUAGAGUAUCGUAGAGGGAGGUAGAAUUCUAGGUGUAGCGGUGAAAUGCGUAGAUAUCUGGAGGAAUACCUGUGGCGAAAGCGGCCUCCUAAACGAAUACUGACACUGAGGUGCGAAAGCGUGGGGAGCAAACAGGGAUUAGAUCC
This 454-nucleotide ribosomal RNA is filed under the name uncultured bacterium. Its description in RNAcentral is "bacterial SSU rRNA". It matches the Rfam family "Bacterial small subunit ribosomal RNA", at positions 340 to 785 of the family's 1533-position model. The record is from RNAcentral.